RNAcentral lists this ribosomal RNA (434 nucleotides) under uncultured bacterium. RNAcentral's name for it is "partial 16S ribosomal RNA". It matches the Rfam family "Bacterial small subunit ribosomal RNA", at positions 29 to 506 of the family's 1533-position model. The record is from RNAcentral.
AGCGAACGCUGGCGGCAGGCUUAACACAUGCAAGUCGAGCGGGCACUUUCGGGUGUCAGCGGCGGACGGGUGAGUAACGCGUGGGAACGUGCCCUCUGGUUCGGAAUAACUCAGGGAAACUUGAGCUAAUACCGGAUACGCCCUUUUGGGGAAAGGCUUGCUGCCGGAGGAUCGGCCCGCGUCUGAUUAGCUAGUUGGUGAGGUAACGGCUCACCAAGGCGACGAUCAGUAGCUGGUCUGAGAGGAUGAUCAGCCACACUGGGACUGAGACACGGCCCAGACUCCUACGGGAGGCAGCAGGGGGGAAUAUUGGACAAUGGGCGCAAGCCUGAUCCAGCCAUGCCGCGUGAGUGAUGAAGGCCUUAGGGUUGUAAAGCUCUUUUAUCCGGGACGAUAAUGACGGUACCGGAGGAAUAAGCCCCGGCUAACUUCGU